RNAcentral lists this ribosomal RNA (404 nucleotides) under uncultured bacterium. RNAcentral describes it as "bacterial SSU rRNA". It matches the Rfam family "Bacterial small subunit ribosomal RNA", at positions 355 to 774 of the family's 1533-position model. The record is from RNAcentral.
UGGGGAAUUUUCCGCAAUGGGCGAAAGCCUGACGGAGCAACGCCGCGUGUGGGAAGAAGGCCUUUGGGCUGUCAACCACUUUUCUCAGGGAAGAAGUUCUGACGGUACCUGAGGAAUCAGCCUCGGCUAACUCCGUGCCAGCAGCCGCGGUAAUACGGAGGAGGCAAGCGUUAUUCGGAAUUAUUGGGCGUAAAGCGUCCGCAGGGGGCUCAUCAAGUCUGCUGUCAAAGGUCGGAGCUCAACUCCGGUUCGGCAGUGGAAACUGGUGGGCUAGAGGGCGACAGGGGUAGAGGGAAUUCCCAGUGUAGCGGUGAAAUGCGUAGAGAUUGGGAAGAACACCGGUGGCGAAAGCGCUCUACUGGGUCGCACCUGACCCUCAGGGACGAAAGCUAAGGUAGCGAAAG